This 29-nucleotide non-coding RNA is filed under the name Homo sapiens (human). Lineage: Eukaryota; Metazoa; Chordata; Mammalia; Primates; Hominidae. The record is from RNAcentral.
UACAGGUAGCUACCACUGGUGUGGGCUGC